This 253-nucleotide ribosomal RNA is filed under the name uncultured bacterium. RNAcentral describes it as "partial 16S ribosomal RNA". It matches the Rfam family "Bacterial small subunit ribosomal RNA", at positions 524 to 776 of the family's 1533-position model. The record is from RNAcentral.
GACGAACUGUGCGAACGUUAUUCGGAAUCACUGGGCUUACAGGGUGCGUAGGCGGCUUGUUAAGUAGGGUGUGAAAUCCCCCGGCCCAACCGGGGAAUUGCGCUCUAAACUGGCAGGCUUGAGUGAGCUAGGGGUGCACGGAACUUCCAGUGGAGCGGUGAAAUGUGUUGAUAUUGGAAGGAACACCGGAGGCGAAAGCGGUGCACUGGGGCUCAACUGACGCUGAGGCACGAAAGCCAGGGGAGCGAACGGG